AAGUCCCGCAACGAGCGCAACCCUUAUCCUUUGUUGCCAGCGGUCCGGCCGGGAACUCAAAGGAGACUGCCAGUGAUAAACUGGAGGAAGGUGGGGAUGACGUCAAGUCAUCAUGGCCCUUACGACCAGGGCUACACACGUGCUACAAUGGCGCAUACAAAGAGAAGCGACCUCGCGAGAGCAAGCGGACCUCAUAAAGUGCGUCGUAGUCCGGAUUGGAGUCUGCAACUCGACUCCAUGAAGUCGGAAUCGCUAGUAAUCGUGGAUCAGAAUGCCACGGUGAAUACGUUCCCGGGCCUUGUACACACCGCCCGUCACACCAUGGGAGUGGGUUGCAAAAGAAGUAGGUAGCUUAACCUUCGGGAGGGCGCUUACCACUUUGUGAUUCAUGACUGGGGUGAAGUCGUAACAAGGUAACCGUAGGGGAACCUGCGGUUGGAUCACCUCCUUACCUUAAAGAA
Molecule: ribosomal RNA, 461 nt
Filed under: Escherichia coli
Lineage: Bacteria; Pseudomonadati; Pseudomonadota; Gammaproteobacteria; Enterobacterales; Enterobacteriaceae
Description: bacterial SSU rRNA
Rfam family: Bacterial small subunit ribosomal RNA
Source: RNAcentral